Sapajus apella (tufted capuchin) is the source of this 229-nucleotide long non-coding RNA. RefSeq lists it as uncharacterized. The transcript has 3 exons. NCBI's taxonomy places the organism in Eukaryota, Metazoa, Chordata, Mammalia, Primates, Cebidae. The record is from RefSeq and is a predicted model, not a curated record.
AAGACAAGAUGUAUUUGGGGAUUUGAUAUUGUCAGGUCUCCAUAUGUAAGCCUGGAGACUGAAAGUCUGAAGACCUGCUUGCCUUGGCUAAUGUCUCCCACCCCCUGCCUGCGUUCACCAUUGUCCCUGAUCACCCAGCAGAGCUUCCCCAGACAAGCCUCUCACCCAACCCUGCCAUCUUAACUGUUCUUAUGAUGAUGUAAAUACCUCUCACCCAAACCUGCCAUUG